This 844-nucleotide long non-coding RNA is filed under the name Numida meleagris (helmeted guineafowl). Its description in RNAcentral is "lncRNA (ENSNMEG00000010941.1)". Lineage: Eukaryota; Metazoa; Chordata; Aves; Galliformes; Numididae. The record is from RNAcentral.
GGAAGGGAGCACAAAGAAACUGAUGUCAAGUGCACAGAGUCCCAGCACAGUGGUGAUGCCCCUUACUACCUUUUCCAGCAUGGGCCAGCAUCCCAGAGAGGAUUGCUUUGUGCGCUAGUUUGGAGUCCUCUGCCAUCACCUUCAGCAUGUUUCAGGCCACAGGAAGCCGCUGAUCUCCCCGGGUGUCUUGCUGCAAGGAGCCUUCCAGAUGCAAGUUAUUCUUGGAGAUCUUCUCCGUGCAGCUUGGAGCGUUUCAGCGCGAUUUCAACGUGUUUCUGACAGCAGUGUUCAGUAUCUCACUGCCUCUCUCACAAUGGAGGCGGGUGUGGGUGCUGCUGCCCCGCAGCGCAUGCUGCUUCUGCUCCUCCUGCACACGCUGCUGGUGCCCAAGUGCAGCGCCCAUGGGCUGGAUCUCUGCCUUCCCCGAGCACUGACCUCCUUGGCAUGGUCUGGUGGUGGGCAGGGAGAGAAUGGCUGUGGGUUUCCCAUGCAAAUACAAGUACAAGCAAAUACAUGGUUUUCAGAAGCAAUUGCUGUUUACUCUAGCUUCACAGGAAGAAAAUCUGGUCAAAAUGCUGAAGAACACAGACCACUGUUUGCUGUGGAAACCAGCAGCUCACACGGACUAAGGAUCACCCAGCUGAGGCCAGCAGUGGGCACUGAGGCCGUAUUACAUCCUGACAUUUUCCGAGGGCAAAAUAAACAAAAAAAUGCUCAGCCUUUCACUGCAGCCCAAGCAGAACGUGUGCUGCUCCUAAAGUUGAAGAACGGCGGUCACUCUAGUGCAGGGAAAGCUCUUAAGAGCUAGUCACUCGGGAAAUAAACCUAAAAGUCAGGCUAACCA